UGUUAAGAUUCACAACAGCAGUGGGCC
This 27-nucleotide non-coding RNA is filed under the name Rattus norvegicus (Norway rat). The record is from RNAcentral. Lineage: Eukaryota; Metazoa; Chordata; Mammalia; Rodentia; Muridae.